This 374-nucleotide unclassified non-coding RNA is filed under the name soil metagenome. RNAcentral's name for it is "partial contains internal transcribed spacer 2 and large subunit ribosomal RNA". The stretch from base 1 to 120 matches the Rfam family "5.8S ribosomal RNA", at positions 35 to 154 of the family's 154-position model. The record is from RNAcentral.
GAUGAAGAACGUAGCGAAAUGCGAUAAUUAAUGUGAAUUGCAGAAUUCCGUGAAUCAUCGAGUCUUUGAACGCACAUUGCGCCUCAUGACAUUCCGUGAGGCAUGCCCAUCUCAGCGUUAGAAAAUAUUCUCAAAUUUUAGUUUUGUGCUAAAAUUUGGAUCAUGUCAAAGAAGCUAUUACUAUUAUUGUGAUCGCUCUUUGGAAAUUGAUAGGUCUUUGAGUUGCUACUCAUAGAACGUGAUGAAUCUUUCUUCGUUCUAUUGUAAUUCACUCUGGUAGUCCUAAAACUUGUAUGCCUGUGGCAUAUCUUGUAAUUUGACCUGAGAUUGGGUAGGGAUACCCGCUGAACUUAAGCAUAUCAAUAAGCGGAGGA